This 253-nucleotide ribosomal RNA is filed under the name uncultured bacterium. Its description in RNAcentral is "partial 16S ribosomal RNA". It matches the Rfam family "Bacterial small subunit ribosomal RNA", at positions 524 to 776 of the family's 1533-position model. The record is from RNAcentral.
UACGGGGGGGGCAAGCGUUGUUCGGAAUUACUGGGCGUAAAGGGCUCGUAGGCGGCCAACUAAGUCGGAUGUGAAAUCCCCAGGCUUAACCUGGGAACUGCAUCCGAUACUGGAUGGCUUGAAUCCGGGAGAGGGAUGCGGAAUUCCAGGUGUAGCGGUGAAAUGCGUAGAUAUCUGGAGGAACACCGGUGGCGAAGGCGGCAUCCUGGACCGGCAUUGACGCUGAGGAGCGAAAGCCAGGGGAGCAAGCAGG